Molecule: ribosomal RNA, 1616 nt
Filed under: Cronobacter sakazakii
Lineage: Bacteria; Pseudomonadati; Pseudomonadota; Gammaproteobacteria; Enterobacterales; Enterobacteriaceae
Description: partial 23S ribosomal RNA
Rfam family: Bacterial large subunit ribosomal RNA
Source: RNAcentral
CUGCGGCAGCGACACUAUGUGUUGUUGGGUAGGGGAGCGUUCUGUAAGCCUGUGAAGGUGUGCUGUGAGGCAUGCUGGAGGUAUCAGAAGUGCGAAUGCUGACAUAAGUAACGAUAAAGCGGGUGAAAAGCCCGCUCGCCGGAAGACCAAGGGUUCCUGUCCAACGUUAAUCGGGGCAGGGUGAGUCGACCCCUAAGGCGAGGCCGAAAGGCGUAGUCGAUGGGAAACAGGUUAAUAUUCCUGUACUUGGUGUUACUGCGAAGGGGGGACGGAGAAGGCUAUGUCGGCCGGGCGACGGUUGUCCCGGUUUAAGCGUGUAGGCUGACUUUCCAGGCAAAUCCGGAAGGUUAAGGCUGAGGCGUGAUGACGAGGCACCACGGUGCUGAAGUGACAAAUGCCCUGCUUCCAGGAAAAGCCUCUAAGCAUCAGGUAACAUCAAAUCGUACCCCAAACCGACACAGGUGGUCAGGUAGAGAAUACCAAGGCGCUUGAGAGAACUCGGGUGAAGGAACUAGGCAAAAUGGUGCCGUAACUUCGGGAGAAGGCACGCUGACAUGUAGGUGAAGCCCCUGCGGGUGGAGCUGAAGUCAGUCGAAGAUACCAGCUGGCUGCAACUGUUUAUUAAAAACACAGCACUGUGCAAACACGAAAGUGGACGUAUACGGUGUGACGCCUGCCCGGUGCCGGAAGGUUAAUUGAUGGGGUUAUCGCAAGAGAAGCUCCUGAUCGAAGCCCCGGUAAACGGCGGCCGUAACUAUAACGGUCCUAAGGUAGCGAAAUUCCUUGUCGGGUAAGUUCCGACCUGCACGAAUGGCGUAAUGAUGGCCAGGCUGUCUCCACCCGAGACUCAGUGAAAUUGAACUCGCUGUGAAGAUGCAGUGUACCCGCGGCAAGACGGAAAGACCCCGUGAACCUUUACUACAGCUUGACACUGAACAUUGAGCCUUGAUGUGUAGGAUAGGUGGGAGGCUUUGAAGCGUGGACGCCAGUCUGCGUGGAGCCGACCUUGAAAUACCACCCUUUAAUGUUUGAUGUUCUAACCUGGCGCCGUGAUCCGGCGUGGGGACAGUGUCUGGUGGGUAGUUUGACUGGGGCGGUCUCCUCCCAAAGUGUAACGGAGGAGCACGAAGGUCAGCUAAUCCUGGUCGGACAUCAGGAGGUUAGUGCAAUGGCAUAAGCUGGCUUGACUGCGAGAGUGACGGCUCGAGCAGGUGCGAAAGCAGGUCAUAGUGAUCCGGUGGUUCUGUAUGGAAGGGCCAUCGCUCAACGGAUAAAAGGUACUCCGGGGAUAACAGGCUGAUACCGCCCAAGAGUUCAUAUCGACGGCGGUGUUUGGCACCUCGAUGUCGGCUCAUCACAUCCUGGGGCUGAAGUAGGUCCCAAGGGUAUGGCUGUUCGCCAUUUAAAGUGGUACGCGAGCUGGGUUUAGAACGUCGUGAGACAGUUCGGUCCCUAUCUGCCGUGGGCGCUGGAGAAUUGAGGGGGGCUGCUCCCAGUACGAGAGGACCGGAGUGGACGCAUCACUGGUGUUCGGGUUGUCAUGCCAAUGGCACUGCCCGGUAGCUAAAUGCGGAAGAGAUAAGUGCUGAAAGCAUCUAAGCACGAAACUUGCCCCG